GGCAGAACAGCCCUGCAUUGGGGCAUCAUCCUAAAAGUUUUGAGAAGGGAAAUGGCAUCUGAUGGACAGGUAUGUGACUAUCAAAUUAAUCCUCAAGCAAGGAAAAUACUUUGUCAUUUGGCAGAAGUUUCAGAAUGUUGAUGAAGACAGAAACACCACACACAAGCAAUCCUGGGUAAAAUUUAACCUGAGUUAUGCUGUCAUUGGCUUUUGGUCAGUGAGUUAAUGUCACCUCCUGUCUAGUAUUCAGUAACACUUCAUGGACUAAUAGUAAACUGACAAGUAAUUAAAACACUUUUCUAAUAAUUAAGUGUGAAUGUCCCAUGGGAGAGAUAUUUUAUGGAUGGCUGGAUACAAAAGCCAGGAGAUCUCUUUUUCUAAACAACAAGUCAAUAUUUUUACUUCCUACAAAAGCUAUUCCUUCCUGGUCAUUUCCAUGGAAUUAUGCUCUGAAGAUUUCAUAUAGUGGACUCUUAUUCAAAAAUUUCCCUACCAAGUAGUUCACUAAAUCAAGGACUUUGAUUACCCAAGAAAAUAAGGAAGAGAGCAUACAAAUUCUUUUCUUACAUGCAGCAGGAUUGAGCCUGUUGCUUCAUGGCUGUGGAUACUCACCAAGUGUGGACACUCCCUUCUGUGCUUUAUACCUUCACAGACAGGAGGAAUAAAGCUAGACUGUUUCCCAACUGACUAAUGUAGAUAGCAACCACUCCAAAUAUGGAAGAGAUUCACUAUGCCAACCCACUUCCUGGUAUUACCAAGCAUUGAAACUUGCACUUGACCUUCGUGAAACUUUUAAGGGAUUGUGUAUCUAGACUUGCCUUCCCAUCCUCACCUUCUUCUAGGCACUGGGCAAAAACUCAUACUAACCCACAUUUUAUCACCACCAUUGUAAUGGGGCUCCACUGCAUGUUGAACACCUCCUUUGUGGUAAGUGCAAAGACUAUUAUACUCAUCAUAUAGGGUACAAAGUGACCCAUUGUGAAAAUUAGGUCAUACGUGCUAUAUCUAUGUUGUAAAUAUUAUUGUUUUUAGACAAGAAUAAUUAUUUUCUUCCUGGCAUAUGUAAGUCUUUCAGAAAGCUUUGAUCAGUCAUUGUUGGGUUUCUCUCAAGAUUGUCUGAGCUUCCAACAGUUUCACAUCUUCAACUAUUUCCUAGUACCAUCAUGCCCAGAGACUUUCCUCUUUACACCACAGAAUUCUCUUUUCCCUGCUCCCUACCCCUGACACCUUCAGCCUCCAUGCCCCAUCAUAUAAUAGCAUGAAGCCAGUAAUAUCAUGUAGGCCCAUACUUCCAGACUCGUGCUCCAUAUAGUCUUUGUGAGGAAUUCCCUUCUUUUUACUCUGUUUUCUCAUGAAAAACUGACUCCUAAACUUUCUUAGCAUCAUGAAAGUGUAGGCUUCAUUCAGAGGUAGGGGAAGGUUGUGAACCUUAUUCAGGCUACUAAAACUUGAGCUGUGUGUGUGUGUGUGUGUGUGUGUGUCUCAAAGGGAAUAAAACCAUGGUUCUCUACCACUAAGCUACUAAGUUGCUAAGUUUCUACUAAGCUGCUACUAAGUCUCACUAAGUUGCUAAGGCUAGCCUUGAACUUGUGAUUCUCCUGUCUCAGCCUCCCCAGUCUCUGGGAUUAUAGGCAUACACAAUUGCUCCCAGCCAGGCUAGUAAUAAUUGUCAUCUUAUGAUAUUUAUUUGGGAUCUUAUGUGUUGCAUUUUUAUUGUUGAUUACUUUGUUUGGUUUAUGGUUAAAGUUACUUUAUAACAAUUAUGAGUUUGUAGGUUUUCUCAAAAUAUUUGCUUUUUAAAAAAUAUCCUACCUUAAAUCUUUAGGCGCCACAUCAUGUCAUAAGUACACAAGAAUUUUGUAUUUGUCUUAUCUUAUAUAAAUGCUUUCUCACUGGGUGAGCCUUUAGGUUGUUUGGGUUUAGAAAGAAAGACUGUGAUUUUCUCUCCUUUGGGAAUGUCUCUUCUUCUCACUCUGCUUGCUCUGCUUGGGUCCUGUGUGCUAACCGCACACUUAGGGGACAAAUGCAAAUCAGUACUUUAAGGGCUAUAGAUUUCAUAUGGAGAACUCCACAUAUGUUUCCCAUUUUUCUCUCUUUUCUGCCACAUAUUUGUGCUGAAUUGUUUUAUUGGUAAUGGGGGAGAUGCCAGAAUAUUUACAGGAUCAUGGUCAUGGGAGUAUGCUGCUAUUUGGACUAUGUCUGGAUAAUGCCAGUGUAAUCAAUCAAAAUGGAAACAUUUGUUCAAAUAAGCACUUUCUAGGUGAUCAGCAUAAUGCUUAUAGUUUUGAGUAUUUAACCAAACUUAGUCACUUUGAUGUGAUUCAGAAAAAACUUAGCAGAGUCCUUUGUGAACACUUCUCUUCUUAAAAAUGAAGAAAUGUAAUUACAUGAAAUUCGAACUCCUCUUUUGAAAAUAAGGAACUCUGCCACUCAGAGUCCAAAAGGGACAUGGACACUAUGCUGAACCAUGUUGUGGCUGGUCUUCCUCCGAUAUAAAUUGAUUUCAAUUUAAUCUUAUUUAUUUGGGGGCACAUUUGGGAAUAAAAUGAAAACUGGGAACUCUCCCAGUGGAUAAAUAGACACACGGAAUUCACAAAGCACUUCAGGAAGUUUCCAGACUCCUUAAAAAUGAUUUUUGUACUUUAUAGAGGUUUAUUAAGAAUUCUAAGGACCAAUGGCCUUUAAGGUCUUGCUCAGCUUAAAAUGUUGAUUUUGUGAAUUUUUCUUUUGUAGUUUUGAUGGACGCAUACAUAUCCAACUGUUCCUCCCAAACAAACUCCUCUGGUGCAUCUUACAUGGGAGUUGUGGAUGUAUCAAAGCCUUAUGCUUUAUUGCCAGCCUAGUGAAGUUUCUGCAUUUAUUGGCUUCUAUCAGUGAGGGAGACUCUUAAAAGAAUUGAGAUAUAUGACAAUCAAGACCUGGUUCUUUCUCACCGCCAUUCAGGAGUGACUGACAAGCACCACCUUCUGGAGAAAAUGUGAAGUUAGUGUCAAAGUUGAUGAUCUCUGACACUGCUGUGCUUUUCACAGGUACCCAGAGUUGAAGCUCCCUCUGAUUCCAGCACCAGUCUAACCCCAUGUUCCUGAAGCAGUUUCUUUACCUUUAUUCUAACCAGAGUGAUCUACCUUUUGCCUCAAUGAAGAUACAAAGCAGUGUAAGUUGGAAAAUCAAUUUAUGUUAAUCAAAAAUUUCUACUUUUCACUGAAAUUUCAUGGUAGCAAAACUCAUAUCAUUUGAAAGUACUGGGAGGUAGUUUGUAUUAAAAGUUAUGUGUCUAGUUGGGUGUGAUGGUGCACACCUGUAUUCCCAGCUACUGGGGAGGCUGAGGCAGGAGGAUCGUUUAGGCUCAGAAGUUCAAGACCAGCAUGGGCAACAUGGGUGACCCAACUCAAAGCAAUUAAUCAAUUAAAUAAAAACUGUCUAUCGAGUGACUUAAAUAUGAUUUGUCAUUAGAAUGUUGGUGAAGUAUUUUAAUUAUUUAAAAGAGAUAGGGAAUCUAUUAAGAAAAUAACAAGUGAUCUUGGAAGUAAUAAGGAUUAAUAAGAAUAAUGCUCUGUUGUACACUCAUACAUAAUUAAGCAGCAAAAGAGUAGUUUAAAUGAUUUAUUUUAUUUAAUUAAUUUAUUUUUUAAUAUUUGUUUUUUAGUUGGGCACAAUAUCAUCUUUAUUUUUUAUUUAUUUUUAUGUGGUGCUGAGGAUCAAACACAGGGCCUUGCAUGUGCUAGGUGAGCGCUCUACCGCUGAGCCACAACCCAAGCCCUAAAUGAUUUAUUUUAAACAUACAAAAUAUAUGCACGUAUACUUGCAUUAUGAUAAUUAGUUAAAUUAGCUUUAUUCGUGGAUCUGGUAACUUUCCAUACAUGCUUUGUAUUUAAUUGUAAACUCCUAAUUUUUUAAACACGUAAUUGUCAGAACAUUAAACUAUUUGUGAUUGUAUUCUUUAUGACUCAAAAAAUCUUAGAUUUUUUUUUGUUAUGAUUUUUAUAGAAACUCUUUUUUCUCUCCGAUUUUUUCUUGUGUUCCACUGGUAUCAAACCAAUGCUGAUUUGAAGCUAUUUGCCCUGCAGGGAUUACUAAGAGUGUCAAGUUCUAUAAAUGUUUGCUUCAUUGCCAAAAUUAAAGAUCCCCCCAACCAAUCUACAUCUUUUUUGUUUUAUUUUGUUUUUAAUCAAAGAGGCAAGAAUGACUUUGUGUCUUGAGAAAUGAUUCCUUUCUUCACAAUAAAGCAAAUAUACAACACAGCUUAGAAAAUGUUUGAGGAUUGAGUCAGAUAAUGGAAAAUUCCUUUAGACCCAUCAUAUCCUAGAGCCGGGUUGGUCUCCUAGGGAGAUAAAUUGAGUACAAUGAGGUUUGCUGCGGGGGAGUUGCAGAAAUGGACCUUUGGAAAUAGACUUUAAACCUAUUAAUAUAUUUCUCCUGGCAUUUUUAAUAAAAAGUAGGCAUUGAUUGUUUACUCCCAGACAAAAUUUCUAUAACCUACCUAAAAUCCCUGCCUGCCAAGUGCUUUGUGCCUCUCAAGGGACUAUUAGUCAUUCUGUAGAGUUAUAUUUAUUUUCUUAAACUUACUUUCCAGAUGGACAAUAUGUAUCAUUUCAUUAAAGCCAAAUGUGGUUUAUGAAAUUUGAGAAUCAUAAUUAAUCAUGCCAGGGAGAGCACCUGAGUGAGGCAGACAGAGAACAUUCUCAGGAAAAUAAAUCAUAAGCUUAAAGCAGCUCCCCUAUUUGUGGUACUUACUACUUUCCAGGUACUGUUUAUAUAUGGAUGCAUCUUAACUACAAUCUUGCACAAUGAAUAUUAUUCCCAUAUUGCAAAUGGAGAGAUGAAGCCCUGGGAGAUAGCAGAUAGUGGGAGCUGGGAGUUGAAGUUAAGUCUGCCUGAUCCUGAGUCCCUGUGCCUUCCACCCUGCAAUUCUGCCUCUGGAAGUGGACAAACUGGGAAGCCAACUCCAUUAUACAGGUUCUCUGGAACUGGUCAUUGAAACUGAAGAAUUAUUAAAAUUUUACACAGUCCACUCAUGAAUAAUAUUUUAUCUUUAAAUACAAACCUUAUUGGUAGCUGACAGAUGACUUUUGCUCAGAAUUACUUGUCAACCACCUCAGAUGUUUUCUUCAGCUGAAUAAUCAUUACCACAAAUACACAUGACAAUAUAGCCUAUCAUCCUUUAAAAGCACAUUUAGAAACACAUUUUUUAAAAGUAUGGCAACGACAAGAAAAGAAUCCUAAAUACAGCUGAGCUGCCAGUCUCAUGUAUAGACAAUGAAAACCACAAGGUGGAGGCUGAUAAAUAAAUCCAAGACAGAGCACUGAUUCUAGACAAUCAUCACAAUGAUAGAAAUACUUCCAAAUAUUUUCAUAGAAUAGAAAAAAAAUUAAAUAUGUUGGGGAUGUAAAUUUCAGCAAAAGGAAAUCUCCGCCAUGCUCUUAUCAUCAGUGCCCCUGGGAGAAGUGUCGAUAAUUAUCUCAGCAAAUUUUGGAGGUUAUAUCAUUUUAAACUAGGGAUUGGGCCCAAGAGGAGGAAAUGAGCAGCAUACCAACAUCGGGGCCAGCCAGGGUGCCCCUGAGAAGCAGAUGUAAACACAGACAGUUGUUCAAAUUUGUCAGCAGAAUCUCUCAACCCUUCAGCCAGUAGUUAGAGUGUAGAAAAUAACCAGAAAUCCUUUUCUAUAAACAAAGGGAAUUGCAAAAGGUAUGGGGAACUAACAUCCAGGUUUUGAAACUGCUGAGAAAGGAGGGGAUGUUCUAUGCUGAAUUCUCACAGAACAAAGACACGUGACAGACUUGCAGCACCCCAAGUGCUACAGUUUGGCCAGGUGCAAUGCUCCCUUUUGAGAUGGGAUUUGGGGCCAGGACCAAACAGACUGAAGGGAUGGCCUGUGUAAUUAAUGGGAGUCGAUGGUAGAAUUGUUCACGCAGUUCAUCACACACAAUGAAGAAAUUUACUAAAAUGCCCUAGAAACAACCUGUAAAGUCUUAGUGUGUCUGUUUUCAAGUUAUAGAACAUCACAAGCUAGAAAAAAAAAAUGCAAAUUUUUCAGUGCUGGGGAUUGAACUCAGGGCCUUGAAUAUGCUAAGCAAGCACUCUACCACUUUUAGCCCCAAAUGCAUUUUUAUUGGACUGUAUCAUGUUGUAAUAGUGUGGGUUUGAGUUUCAAAAUUCACGGCUCAAAGGCUCCCUUUUAUCCUCUUAGGUAUUUUGCUUUGGUUCUAUUACAUGUUUGAAAUUGCCAGGAUUCCAGCAGAGCCCUGGUUAACUGAGAAAAAGAUUAACAAGCCUUUUUACUCAUCAUUUACAACUCCAAAGAAGGAUUCUUUAAUAAAGUUAAACACCGGCAUUAAAGAGCACUUUAAAAAUGUGUUAUAAAAAUAUAACCUUAAUAAAACCAGGACUCUCUGUGACCUAUUUCAGCAUGUGUUAGACACAAAAGAAACACCCACCUGACAUCCAGAGGUAUUGCAAAUCCAUUUAAAACAGCAAAGUCAAUGGAGAUGCAGCAGUAAGGUCUGCCAUUCACAACACAUAGCAAAACUUCCUCAAAACUCUCUUCCUCCAUCUAUAGAGUUCACAUAGCAGAAGCACUACUCUAAAGAGUUGCCUCCACACACAUUCAAACUAUUUCCCCUAGGUGAGCCCAUGGGGGCUCCUUUCACUUCAAUUUCUCUCUCUCUUUUUCAUCCUACCUCAGGACCAAAAAUAGUAAUCAAUCUUUAUAGCAAAAUGAUAUGUGCCAUCUCAUGGAAAUUAGUCUAGCCUUUUUAGCAAUGUCCUUCAUUCCAGAUUAGGAUAGCAAAAGCCAAAGAGUCAAGAGGACCUCUUUCUUCAGUGGCAGGAUGAAUGUGCAUUUACUAGUGAUUUUUUUUCCUUUGUCAUAUAAAGAAGACUUAAAAGAAUCAAAUUCUUAAAUAGGUCUUGAUACUCUUUUUUCCUAUAAUCCUUAAAUUACCAAUUAUUACUUCAUAUAUAUAUAUAUAUUUAUUUAUUUUUUUUCUCAUUCUUGUUCACACUGAAUCUUUGAGUCAAGCCUUUAGAAAGACAGCUCCAUGAACAACACAGACUUGAUCUGUGGUUUUUCUAAUGAUGUAAAAUUACCAUGUGCACUUCCCAAAAGCUCUUUCCCAUGUGGAUGUGGGAACUCUAAAUACAUUAGGAGAUAACAGUCGACCUCUAGUCAGAGCUCAGAUUAUCUUGUAUCCAUUCAAUGCUCAUUCAUUUGGAGAAGAUGGGUCAUGGAAUCAGGAACUCCUGAAGGGGUGGCCUGAGGGAAAUGGUGAGUGUGCCGGUCCCAGACUGGCUUGUCUGACAUUCUUUUGGCCUCCCCCUGUGCUCUGCAUCCUAGUCCUAGGGAGGCUCACUCCAAGGACUGGAUUUCCCAGACUUUCUUGCCUAUGGGUAAAUGUCAGUGAGUCACUUGUUCAAGGAUGGUUUCUAGAAGGAAGAGAGGAACCAGAGUCUGCUCCCUACGACUGCUUAUUUCAUUCAGGCAACCAGCUAUUUGGUGUCCAAACUUGACCAGAACUAGCAAGAAGCCAUUUGUUAUCUUAUGUAUUCCACUUUGGGUGAAUAUCCACAUUUUGCUGGAUUUUAUUUAAAAAUGCUGCCUCUAAAAUUACUGGAGAAUGUGACAAUGCUAGGACACCCAUUGGAUACAUAUUGCCUUUCUAAAAUCUGAAAAUAUUCGGGUUUUAUCUGUACCCAAAGAAUUUCAGAUAAGGGAUGGAAGACAUGUAAUUUACAAACCUUUCAUGAUCUUUAAUUCACAAAAUUUAGACAUUAAAUUUCACUUUUUCUGUUUUCUUGAAUUUUCAGAGUGAAAAAUUCAGAAGCUCCUCCCACACUUAGAGCAGAUGCCAAACUACCUGUGUAGAACAUACUUGGAGUUUGUAAUACUUAUUCUGUGAGGGGUUAGCCCAUCAUCCAUUUCCAGCCUAUAGAAGAAAAUAGUUAGGAAUUAAUUUUGGGACUAAAAAGGGAUGUCAAAAGAUUUCUUUAAAGGGAGAUAUUUGAACCAUGUUGGUUUUAUUACCAUAACUCUGGAGUAUAAUUUGAGGUCCAGUAUUGAGAUGCCUUUUGCUUCACUUUUCUUUUUAAAAACUACUGUGGCUGUUCUGGGUCUCUUUAUUUUUCCAAAUGAAUUUCAGAACUGCUUUUCCUAGUUCUUUGAAAAUGUCAUUGAAAUUUUGAUGGGGACUGCAUUGAAUUUGAAUAGUGCUUUUGGAAGUAUGGCCAUUUCAACAAUAUUAAUUUUGCCUGUCCAAGAAUGUGGGAGGUCAUUCCAUCUUCUAAGGUCUUUCAUUUAUUAUCUUUUUAGUGCUCUAUAGUUUUUUAUUGUAGAGUUCCUUCAUCUCUUCUGUUAGAUUGAUUCCCAAAUUUUUAUUUUUUUAAGGCUAUUGAGAAUGGGAUAGUUUUCCUAAUUUCUUUUUCAACAGAUUCAUCAUUGGAGUACAGGAAUGCAAUAAAAAUGACAAUUCUGAGUACACAUUCUACCAAUGUGGCAGUAAGAAUUAAUCAAUAAAUUUUAAAUAAAGAAUCUAGGGAUCUUUAGCAGUAGCCACAAACCAAAGAAUCCUCAAAAUUCAAUCUUUUCUGUUUUUUUUUUUUUUUCUGAUUUCUGUUCAACUGCUCAUUCUAGGGCAGAAGAACACUGGGAAAUCCUACUUUCUGCCUCUGAUUUCUGCAUUCCUUUAAAAAAAUAUAUUGUGGUGCUUUUUCUCAGUAUAUAAAAAAAGGGAGAUAUUUUAGGUUGUUGGAUAUCCAUUCCUCCCUAUUCAUGGAGGAUAUGAAGGGUAUUUAUCCCUAUCUAAGGGAAGAAGUUUCCAGUAGGAACUCUGAGAACCUGGCCUAUAAAUAACAAGAAGAUGCAAAGACUUGAAUCCAACUCAUCCCCAAAGAGUGUUAAUAUAUACGGUUACACCUGGAGUUUCUUUGGAUUGGUGGCAAGGGCAGAAACAGGUCUAAGUUGGGACAUCAAUUUAGAAAAGAGAAAAAAAAAACACUGUUCUUUAUGAUUUAUAUGUCAACCCCUGGAAGGAGUGUCCUUGAGAGGGACCUUGCAUCAGUCAGGAGAUCUAAGGAGAUCUAAGCACUUGAGGGCUGCCAGCAGGUGGAAGGAUGAGUUCUAAGAAUAUCCAGUUGAGACUCCCCCAUGGGUAUGAGUGCAUUGAGAGGUCUGAAAUGGCAGAUUACAACUUUUCCAGUUAUGUAAAACAUUUUCAGAAUUCCAUAUUUAAACUGGUCUUAGAAAAUAUAAGAUAAACGUUUGGGGAUAUGGUAAUGUUAUCAAAAGAGAGGACUGGAUUCAUCUAUCUUUUGCACUUCAUUUUUCCUAUCUUGAAGGAGAUUUAAACAAGGGAGAAAUUUUAAAUUGAAUGAGUGUUUAGUUUUGAAUGAGUGGUAUUGCUCUGGAACAGGAAUUUCAACACAGAGGGGAGGAAGCCACCACUUGACUUAAGGCAGGUGUGUGAUAAGCGAUAAGAAAUAGCUCAUGGGCUCCUUCUGCAGGGUGUGUCUGAAGACUGGCUGCAGUUCUGUGCUGAGCAGAAUCCUGAGUGUGGACUAGGCAGAGUGGGAAGAUGGCUACAUGGACUAGGGACCUGUGAGUGGAUGCCCAUGUGCCAUAUCCCUGACAUCUGUGGGUGAGGAAAACAGUGAAAACAGACCUUGCUCCACAAAGUGAGAGUCCUGACAGUGAGUUUGAGAUAGAGCAAAACACAGUGUAGGCACUCAGUCAACUUUUGUUGAAUGAGAAUAAGGUGAGUAGCAUAACUUAUCUAUAUAAUUUGCUGUAGGGACAGAUGAGAUAGGGCACCAAAGAUAGCAGGAAACAGUUUUAGUUGGCUGCAGCUGUAAUGCCAGAUUCGUGGGACCACAAUAGACCUCCAGGAGCUGAAUCCAAUGCAAUCACACAAGAGCCUUUAUUGCAAGCUCAAGCCUGGACUCACAACCUUUGCUGACGUAGCAGUCCCAGGGAGUGAGUCCCGGUCCUUUGUUCAGUGAGAUUUUAUAGGUUUUGGGGGGAUACUCUAUGCAUCACAACAUCACACAGCAAAUCAUUUCACAUCUCGGGAAAGUCAAACAACAACUCUUAACAUUGAUUAACACAUUCACUGGCCAGAACAAGUUGGGUAGGGGUGAUUGGUUAGUACAAGAGGAGGAUUCCUUUGAACUGAUUGGUUUAAGCCACGAGGGGUGUACGUGAUAAACUACAUGGUUUCCCAACAUGUUAUCAACCACCAUAAACUACUGGGGGGGGGGGGGUCAUCUAGCAUCCCAAGUAUUUUCCCUGUCUCAUGCUGAUUGGUGGUGGCUAGGGGGUUGUUAUGGUUCCUCACCUAGCCUAAUUGAGUCAGGGACACCUGGCACCCCAGAUCUCUGUUGUUAUUUAUAGACAAACAACUCAGCAGGGUGUGUGUGUGCUUAGGAGUGCUCUGUGGGUUUUUCCAAGGACAAGGGUCACACCCCCUUCCUUGGACAGGCUUUGCUCUGAGGUAGAGGCUGGUUUCUCAAAAAUGAAGUCACAUCAGUUUCUCAAAGCCAGUUUUAGAGGGUACAGCUUUCACUGUAAUAAAUUAAUCCCCUGAACCCUGAGUUCAGGGAGUUUCAGAACUUAAUACCCAGCAUGUAAGGAGGGACUCAGAAGUUCACAGUCUGCAGAAAGCAGCUUUUUCUUUCACUGUUUUGGGCAAGCUAACCCUUCAAGGGCAACAUCUGAUAAGGGGAGAGCUUCUUAUACCCUUUCUUUCCCCCUCCCUUGCCAGCUGUUACCAUGGAGCCCAACUGGUAAAUUAUCUUAGAAAUAUAGACAUCUCUGUGAAGCUCCAGCUCAAGGCUAGAGGCCUUAUUAAAGGAUGUCUUUUUUUUUUUAUUAACCACAUUUUGCAUUUGCAAACAUACUUUUUUUUUUUAAAUUUUUUAUUGUUGGCUGUUCAAAACAUUACAUAGUUCUUGAUAUAUCAUAUUUCACACUUUGAUUCAAGUGGGUUAUGAGCUCCCAUUUUUACCCCAUAUACAGAUUGCAGAAUCACAUCAGUUACACAUCCAUUGAUUUAUAUAUUGCCAUACUAGUGUCUGUUGUGUUCUGCUGCCUUUCCUAUCCUCUACUAUCCCCCCUCCCCUCCCCUCCCCUCCCCUCUUCUCUCUCUGCCCCCUCUACUGACAUUCAUUUGUCCCCUUGUAUUAUUUUUCCCUUUCCCCUCACUUCCUCUUGUAUGUACUUUUGUAUAACUCUGAGGGUCUCCUUCCAUUUCCAUGCAAUUUCCCUUCUCUCUCCCUUUCCCUCCCACCUCUCAUCCCUGUUUAAUGUUAAUCUUCUUCUCAUGCUCUUCGACCCUACUCUGUUCUUAGUUACUCUCCUUAUAUCAAAGAAGACAUUUGGCAUUUGUUUUUUAGGGAUUGGCUAGUUUUCAGUUUUUGAACNNNNNNNNNNNNNNNNNNNNNNNNNNNNNNNNNNNNNNNNNNNNNNNNNNNNNNNNNNNNNNNNNNNNNNNNNNNNNNNNNNNNNNNNNNNNNNNNNNNNNNNNNNNNNNNNNNNNNNNNNNNNNNNNNNNNNNNNNNNNNNNNNNNNNNNNNNNNNNNNNNNNNNNNNNNNNNNNNNNNNNNNNNNNNNNNNNNNNNNNNNNNNNNNNNNNNNNNNNNNNNNNNNNNNNNNNNNNNNNNNNNNNNNNNNNNNNNNNNNNNNNNNNNNNNNNNNNNNNNNNNNNNNNNNNNNNNNNNNNNNNNNNNNNNNNNNNNNNNNNNNNNNNNNNNNNNNNNNNNNNNNNNNNNNNNNNNNNNNNNNNNNNNNNNNNNNNNNNNNNNNNNNNNNNNNNNNNNNNNNNNNNNNNNNNNNNNNNNNNNNNNNNNNNNNNNNNNNNNNNNNNNNNNNNNNNNNNNNNNNNNNNNNNNNNNNNNNNNNNNNNNNNNNNNNNNNNNNNNNNNNNNNNNNNNNNNNNNNNNNNNNNNNNNNNNNNNNNNNNNNNNNNNNNNNNNNNNNNNNNNNNNNNNNNNNNNNNNNNNNNNNNNNNNNNNNNNNNNNNNNNNNNNNNNNNNNNNNNNNNNNNNNNNNNNNNNNNNNNNNNNNNNNNNNNNNNNNNNNNNNNNNNNNNNNNNNNNNNNNNNNNNNNNNNNNNNNNNNNNNNNNNNNNNNNNNNNNNNNNNNNNNNNNNNNNNNNNNNNCCUGGAGGGACAAUUUCACUCCCUCUAAUACAACUUAUUCUUAGUCAUCAGAUUUUUCUUCCUGAAGUAUUGCAUUGUCUAUAUUCUUUAUUGAUUAAAAAGUAUCUAGUGGUUCUUAUUCCUUACUGAAUAGAGUCCGAAUUCCUUGGUGAGGUAUACAAAAUCUCUACAAUACUGGCUCAAGCUGCUUUUCUAGUCUGAGCUUCUACCUUUCUACCCAUCCUCCCUAGAUUUAUCCAUGACACCUGCUGAGUGUUCCUUAGACUCCUUCUUUCUCCUCUUGGCUCAAAAUAUUCCAGCUACUAAAAGUUAUGCACUUCCUUCUGCCUGUCAUUUGAGGCCCAUUUUCAAUGCUGUCUCCUUUAUGAGGUUUUUCAUGGUCAAACACCUGGCAACCACAAAUCAGAUGUUAGCUCUUCCUUAGUAGGUUUCAUUUAAAAAUACAAUAUGUCAUAUAUUAGUUUGUAUUUUAAUAGCAAAAUGAUCAAGCCACAUACUAAACAUAUGCUUCUUGAGAACCUAAGCCAUGUUUUAUUUUUCUUUAUAUGGUUUAUUUUGCUUAGUGCAAUAGGGCUUAUAUAAAAGGAAAUGACUCAAUAAUUUAAGAAGAAAUCAGUAUUUGGAAUAAUGAAAAUGUUUUGAAUUUAGGCAGAGGUGGUAAGUGUGCAAUAUUGUGAAUGUAUGAAAUGACAUUUUAUUUUUCUCUUUUCAUUUUAUGUUAUUUGAAUUUCACCUUCAUAAGAAGAAUGAAAUAAUUAUUAAACAAAUUCUUAUAUCUUUCUAACAUUUAUCUGGCUAAAUGGAAUAACUUUCUCUCAGACAUUUUACAUUUUACCAAUAUGAGCAACAUAAAUAUAAAAUUGUGUUUCUGAAUCCAUAACAUGAAUACGUUCCACACUAACUUCUUCCAGUUUUUUAUUUCUUGAUCAUAUUACUUUUGCAUAGUGGUGGUUCCUGUUGGACCCUUACCCUUUGAUAGAGGUAACUGGAUGGCUUUAUUUUCUAUAUCCCUCAAGGAUGAUUUAAGCUCCAUUGGCCUCUGAUCAGACUAUAUGAAGGAGAAGUUCAUCUAACAUAAAUACGAGAGAGAAAAGAGGUCAGAGGAUAUCCACAUCUCUCCUUAGUCUAAAAGUUCAUGGACAUGUAAGGAACUUGCUCUUAGCUAUGAUUGCAAAUCCGUGUCUACUACUGACUCUCCUUAAUAUAAAUGCAUUUUUGAGAGUGUUUUAUCAUGUACCACAGAAGAAGACCAUUUAACAUGACAUUUGAACAAAAUAAGAUGGCUGAAACAAAGAUUUUUAGUGGAGUCACUUCAUCUGCAUUUACCCUCCAGCCAUCCGAAUGAUCUGCUUUUGAAUAUUGAAAGAACUGAUAAAUCCACAGGUUACCAAUCCAGUCUCUCCCUUCUAUAACAUAUCCUGAAAAAUGUCACCACAUUUAUUUUUUCUUGUACACUCCCUUACUCAGAAAAAUCACUACCUACUUAUUAUUUACUCUACCCAUUCUUUUUAAAUCUCCCUAAGGGAUUCUAAUGUGCUACUGGAGCCAAGAACCACCAUUUUGAAUAUUCUUCCAGGGCAGAGGUGCAGUAUACAUGAUAAGGAGAAAAUUGAGCCUUUUGAAGUGAUGUUUGCAGAUGUCUUAAAUAUAAGAAAAAUACAGCUUUUACUCUCUGAUUACAAGUGGAAAAAGAGCCUCCCAAUCAACCCUUGCUAGUUAUGGUUGGUUAGGCAUCCUGGGCCUUUUAUAUCUAGUUCUGGCAAACGCAACAGCAAUGUAGUCUUUUGCAGGUUCCUAAUGGUGUCCCUGUAGGCCACCAUCUCCAUUCUGUUUCUGGACAUCCCAACCUUGCCCCUUCUUAGGGGACAAGACCUCUGAGAGGCAGAUUUUCAAGAGUAAGGUUUUAUUGGCUUAUAAUCUUUCCCUUGCAGAAAGAUGACCAGGAAAAAGAGUUUUGUCAGUCACAGCUACUCACAGGCUCUUUCCCCCAGGGCAGAAUUAGGUAAAAUUUAUGUCACCUAGUCCAACUGUCAGAAUGUCUGUCCCAACAUGAAAUAGGGAAUCUUGAAAGAUAUGAAUGAUACUCCUGCGAGUAGCCAGAGACAGCUGGUACCCCUAACUCAUUUUAGGAGGAAUUGACGUCCAAGUUUUGCACAAGGCCUAGGGUGGGCUUUACCAGAGCACUUUAUGACUGUGCUUUUGAAAAUGUUUCCCUCUAGUCAUCAUUGUGAGGUAAUGUAUUAGGUAAUGUCUUGAAAAAUGGCCAGAGGGCUGAAGUGUCAGCUUUCAGCUCACAUACCUGAAAAUAACAUUGUUGGUUAUUAUUUUUAUACAACAAUAUAUUUGGAAUGCCUCAUAAACAGAAAUUAAUAGUGACAUCUCUGUCUCUGUAUUUAAACACUGCCCUAUCAACAAUAAUGGGAAGAAAAGCCUAGGUCACUAACAAUGCUUCAGAGAAAAGUGUCUCUCUCACUACAUUCAGGGUACAUUCCCAGUCCCUUUGGCCUCAGUCAUCAAAGCCAACUUGAGUUACCCAAGGUUCAGUAAAAACCAUAGAAAAUCCCCAAUCACAUUUAUUUUUGGAGCUAAAACUUUAGUUCCAAGGAUUCACACAAAACACAUCACCGUAACAGCAUAAAGCAAAAUCAUUUCAUAUAACUCAAAGUUCAGCUGUACAGUCUACCCUUAAACUGGCAGGACAUUGGUAUAUUGAAAUCUCAAAUUUCCACAUAAGAAUGUUACAAACAGCUGAGUGUGCAUAUGUAGCAAUCCUAUCAGGAACUUAUGAUCUAAGAAAAAGUCAACUUUCUUUCAAUUUAUCAGAUUUCAUACCAACAAGGCACCCUCUUCCCAGGAUGAAAACUGGUUGAAUUUUUAAGAUUUCUUGUUUAAUGGUGCAGCUCUUACACUUACCUGUUGGCCUGUAUUCACUUCAGCUUUUGAAGAUUGCUUGUUCAUCUAGAGUUGCAUACCACAGCCCAGCUGAGAAAAACGUCAAUCUUAGUUCUAUUUCUUCCAGUAUCAUUUCUAUCAUAUUCAAUAUCACAAUUAGCAGGGAAAAAUUUAAAGGUUUAUUUUUAAUCUUUGCAAGACUAAAGUGCAAAGAAAAUUCAGUAUUUCUUAAGAGAAUAUUGUAAAAUAACUAAUCACAUUUUAUAAGAGUGGCAGCCUCUUUUCCGUUUUGUCUUUUAUCAGAAUUUCCCAGAAGUAUAUAGAGAAAUGACUUGGUAUCUUCCACUCAGACUACAAAAAGUUAGCAAAGAAAUGAAUAGAUCACUUUGAAACAAUGUAUAUAUUUAAUUCAUUUAUUUUCUUUUGAACCAUAUAUGUGUGAUCCAACCCAGCUUUUUAAAUUUUAAGGUCUUAUCAAUAAAUGGAAAGACAACUUAAUAUCUGUACAGUGUAGCAAAAAAAAUCACAUGGAUUUGGAUAGGUCAUGAGCAUAAAUCACUCCAGCAAAGAACUUAAAAUGCAAAGUUAGCCACUUCUACAGAAUAAUGCCUUUUAGAUUUUAAAAACCAAAUAUUAUUAAUCAGUAAAGUACUAAUUAAGCAUAUACCAUGUAUAAAACAAUAUUCUAUCUAUUAAAAAAUGUCAGGUAAUAUCACUAUUAUCCCUGAUGCUAGGCAAUUGAGACCUAAGGACGUAAUACAUUCUCCUACACAAUUAAUUUCCUUGGACCCUCAAUAAAAUUGUGAUCAUUUUCCUAUAUGAGAUUGAUCAAAUUAUUCAUUUUCACAAAUGUUCUUCUGCUAAAUGUUAGAAACUAGAUGGUACUUUUUGUUUUAUCUCCAUUGCUUCAUAUAGGAGCUACUUCAUAUGAGGUUAUUAAUCUAAGUUUAUUGAACAAAACCAUUCAAAAAGUGUAUGUAUAAUGCAUACAUGUACGUAUAUAUGCAUGUAUACAUAUGUAUAAUAAAUACAUAGACACAUGAAGCUUUAUAUACAUAUAUAGUUUGAUAUGCACAUAUAAUUAAAAGGCAGUAAAUGACAAAUGUACUGUAAUCUCUCCCAUGCUGGUGUUAAGAAAGCAAGGACAUUCUCUAUUUGCUCUAUGUCAUAGUGUAAGUGGGUAACCUGCAAAAUAUAUGUGUGGAAAUGGUUCGAUGUACAUUUUAAGUGAUUUUCCAGCACAACAAUAUCCUUUAGUCCAUUUUUCCAGGUACACUUCAAGAAUUUUCCAAUGAAGCAGAUUUUAGCAUUCUUGUUUUUAGUGAGGUCCUCCUAUAAAGACUAAUGAAAAGAAAAUAACUUCCAUCUAAAUAUAUGUUACAUGGAAAUGUACAAUAAAUUAUGUGAUGUGAUAUAUAUUUUUACUACCUGAUUUACAUAUUCUGAGGUCCCAAGACUAUAAAAGUCUAUGUUCUCCCCCCCCCCACACACACCCCAGUAUGCUUGCAGACAAAUGUCCUUUAAAAGUUGCUCAUCAUGGGAAUGGAAUGUGCUCAAAGAUCAGCUGAAAGUUCUAGAAAUGUGAGGCUUUUGCAGCUGUGGCUCUGUGCUUAGUUUCUGCAGGAGAAUAUGGGCUCCCUUCUGGUCAUGCAGGAGUUCUGAUGGACUCACCAAGGAAUACAACAAUACUCUCGGCCCUGACAAAGCUCAUUCAGGCUUUAGUCAAACGGAUGCAGGUGUAAAGUCAUAAGAACAUCCUUAUUUAUAUAGCACAAUAUAAUCUGUUUCCCACUGCAAAUCUUUGAAGUAGGCAGAAAAGAUCAUUGCCUUCAGGCUAUAGAGAAGGAAAAAAAAAACUUUGGGGAUGUUUUGUGGCAUAUGAGUUUCCAUAGUAGGAAGGGAUUAAGUUGGAAAUAGGAUCUAGUAUGGGACUCCCUUAGGUCCUACUGCUGUCUGGCUGUGUGACCCUCUUCAAGUUCCUCAAGCACUCUGAGCUUGAGCAGCUUCAUCAAUAACAGAAGAAAAGACUCACAACUUUGUUCUGAGAGUGAAAUAACAUGUGAAAACAGUUUUAUUAGUAGAAUAGCAUUGUUCAGGAGUUGAUGUAGGCUUACUCUCUUAUUUCUCUCCAGACAGUAACUAUAGCUCCCCCAAAGCAUCCAGUUAUAAUAAGACUUAUACAUUGCCCCUUAUCUGCAAUUUCAAAACCCCCAGAACUCCAAAAUCCAGUUCUUCUAAACUUAUUUAAGCAGCAAAAUCUUAUGUGAACUAACAGACUUACUUGUUAUCCAUUUUUCCUUAUUUAGUAUGAUUAUUCAUUUGUUUUACAGCUGAUAUAUCAAUAUAAUUAUAGGGUUAUGAAUGACUGACUCAUACCCAUAGCAGCUAUUCCACAAUAAUUGCUAACAGAGUAGAUUAUACUCCUAGAACCCAAACAUCCUGUAUCCCAAUAAUUGCCUUGGAGAUUGGAUUUGUAAUGCGGAGUGGAAUCCUGCUGAUCCAGCUUAGAGAGCAGACUGCUUGAUGUGGGGAUGUGACAUUCUGGGUGAGGACUAUAUGGAUGACAGAGGUUCUGGGGUCAGUCAUAUUGGAUAGCCCUAUAGAUGUCCAAUGUUCCAGUCCUUAUUUCAUCUUCAACUACUGUGACCUUUUAAUGGCUAUUUUUGAAGUAGCAUGUCCAAGCAUUAGAAGAAGCCACAAUGGAAAAUGAAUGAGCAAAGGAAAAUGGAUGGUUGAUACAACCUGAGUCUGAAUCCCUGACCAGCUGUGUCCCUUGACAUGUUUAUCAAGUUUUUAAAAACUUCAGCUUCUCCUCCUUAUAGUGAGAAUGCAAAUGGUUUUGAGGGUGGUGGUAAGUUUUAAAUGGUACAGCACAUGGAGAAGUGCCGCAGUGACUCAUUCAUACUAUGUGUCCAGUAAAAGUUAGAUCCUUUCCCUGUUCGCUUGCUGGCAUUCCUGUGGUGUUUCCACAAACAGAAAUCUGUACCAUAAGGUUCUUUGUAAAGGUUGUCUUCAAAUAGCUGAUUUGUUGUUAUUGUGGCUGUCAAUUAAAAUAGCCAAGGAUUCUUAUUUAUUUUUUCUGAGUCACAGUCUAGGUCUGUGCCAUUUUAAAGUCCAGAAAGUUGAAUUAGUUUAAUUCCACUAUGAUUCUGCCAAGCUAUCUUUUUUUUUUGUAAGAAAACAAACUCUUUUAAUAAUGUAUGAGGUUUAUAAUACUGUGAAGUGUCUCACAGUUUGCAGGAAACAGACCAAAACACCCAAAAUGAUAAAGUGUGUUUAUUGUAGGUCAACUAAUUACAUUUCUUAAACCUGGAAUCUAUGAAAUUUGAUGGUGGGCUUUAGUCUGUGGGGACUUCCUGGGCACAUGUCACCCCUUGGCGGUGAUUCAUUCUGAUGUUCUAAAGGCUGGAAGCUCAUGACAAUAGCAUAUGAGCUUGGCAUGCAUAAUUCACUUAGAAUUUUAAAUGGAUCUUGAGUCAGAAAGUUCCCCCUGAAGUUAGAUUACCACAAGGCAUACAUUUACAAGGGGGAGAUUCCCUCCAGUGUUUAAGAUUCUCUCUUAAGCUGAGAGAACUGGACAACAGAGUCAUUUCUCAGACCAUCAGGAGGCUCACAGUGAGGGGCUGGACGUCACACUCAGCUUUAUCUCCUCAAAUAGAGGAAAAUGUACAAAAGGAGGCUUGUGUAUUCCCCCACUGAGGUCAGUGGGGAAGAGAAGGAUGAUACCAUUAAUGGCCAAUAGGAAGAUAGUCAUCACAGGAUGAAACCAAUAUCACCAGUGUGGCUCGAAGGAAAUCCAUGCCAGGCACCAAAACGUAACAUGUGAAUAGGAUAAUUUUUAUAAGAAAAUGCUAUAUGAAUGUAAAAGAGCUUUUAGAAGAACAAAUGCAUAAGCCAUAAAGGAAAAUAUGGCCAAAUUUACUACAUUAGAGUUUAAAUUAUGUAGAAGAAAAGGUAUAAAAAUAGCAUAAGGCUAGUUUUAUAAAAAUUGAGAAUUUAAGCUGGGUGUGGUGGUGCAUAUUUAAAUCCCAGUGGAUUGGGGGAUGAGGCAGGAGGAUUGCAAGUUUGAGACCAGCCUCAGCAACUUAGUGAGGCCCUAAGUAACUUAGUGGAACCAUGUCUCAAAAUAAAAAAAAAUAAUAAAGGAUUAAAGGACUGCGGACGUAGGUCAGUGAAAAAGAGCCCUUGGUUUCAAUCCCCCUUCCAAAAAAAGAAAGAGGGAAAGAAGAAAGAAAAUUAUGUAUUAAUUUAAUAUGUUUACAUUUUUUGCAUAUGUCCUGUAUGUGUGUGUGUGUGUGUGUGUGUGUAUGAGUGAGAAGACAAACAAUACACCUUCUUUGUAUUUUUUUUUCAGUAGCACUUUAAAAUAUGCUUGUAAAAAUAUUCAGAAUUUGCUGGAGUUACUUCUGAGAAUACGUAAGAGAAAUGAGGAAAGAGAGAAAACAGAGGGCCUCAACUAUAUCUGAAAUAUUUCAUUUCUUUAAAAUUUUAUUUCUUUGAAUAAUAAACAAGAAUGGCAGAUGUGUUUGUACUCAAAGGAUUUGCAUAGCAGAUACACAGGUGUUUGUUAUUUUAGUGCAUUCUUGUAUGUUUGAAAGAUUCUGUAAUACAUAUUUAAUGUAAAAAUACUAUUCACCUGAUAAUUCCCUUCGUGUCUAUGUGGGCAAUCAUAGGAAAGAAGGAAAAAAACAUCAGAGUCCUAGGGAUUUUUUUGCAUCAUCUACGAUAUGGAUCAAAGACUGAUUCUCUGUUACUUUAUUUAUUUUUCCUAAGUUUUACUUAAGAGGCAACAUGGGGAAAUCUUUACCACUGAUGGACUCCUGCUCUCUCUCUCUCUCUACAUUGGAGUAGCACAGACGAUUUCUGCCUCCCCACAGCUGUCUUCUACAGCUCUAUAAUGUAUGCUUUGUUUCACUUCCUGCCCCAAUCUAUACAUCCUGGAAGUCCAAAGGGCUUCCUCCUCUGAGUCCUGGGAUGGGCUGGGGCAUGGCAGUAUGGGCAACUGUCACUAAAACUUGGCUGCAGCUGCUGCUGCUCUGACACUGGAGAAUGUGCACUAUACCAGCAUGUGCCACUCUUCGAUGCUAAACAGCUCUUUUCAGUCUUUUAAUAGAUUCUUGGGGGAGGAGGAAGUGGAGGCUGAAGUUCACUUUAUUCAUCUGUGUGCCUGGCUCAGUCAGAUUGGCAUCUGGCACCAAGCCUACGGUUUUGUCAGAUGACAUUGUUUUCUGUUACCCCCACACGUACGCACAUUCAAAUGCACACACAGUACAAGCUCAAGCAUAUGUCUCUGUGUCUGCAAGUUACACUGCACUGGCCAAAAUCACAUUUAGCCACACACUGAGGUAUAAACUGAAAAUGCACAUUCUUUGACAUCUAUAAGCACGAACAGUGAGGUUCAGUUGUUUUGGUUGUUGUUGUUGUUUUAAGAUGACAACAGAAUGGAAGGAAUAGGUGAAACUUUUUUCAACUGAUUUCUGCUAUUGUUGGUGAAAAGAACAUGUGUAUCACAAUAAGGAUGGGUUUAUACAAUUCUCUCACACACAGAGGUAUUUGAAUCUUUUUAUGAGAACCUCAGUGGACAAGUAAUGGAACUAAAACACCCAAAUCUCCCCAUUUUUGAAUUUCUAAAGAUGCCUACCAUUUAUGAGGAAUCUUACCUCUUCUUCCAUCAUAAUGUGGAAGACUAAGUUCCCAGAACUCCUUAAGACCUGCCCUCUCACUCUCUGCAGUAUGUCCAGAAACUUCAGAAUUAUUGAAGCCAAAGCCAGGAAGCUAUGGCCUUAUGGGUCAAAUCCAGCCAGUUUGCUGUUUUUGUAAAUAAAACUUUAUUACCUAGUAUUGCCCAUUUCUUUACAUAUUGUCUUUUGUUGGUUUUACAUCACAAUGGCAACAUUGAGUACCACUGACAGAGGCCAUAUGGUUUGCAGAGCCCAAAAAACUUAUCAUCUGACCCUUUACCCCCCCCCCCCAAAAAAAAAAAAAAAAAAAUUCAGCCUACCCCUGGGUAACAGAAUCCUAUGGGCUGGAAGAAUGACUAGAUUACAUAUUAUGGCCAAGAGACAGCAGGUCAAAAAGAUGCUCACAUUCAGUUUAUGCCAGGCUUAUCCUUAUAGCAAGUGGGUAGAAAAAUUAGAUAUCCUGUUUAGCUAUUUUUUUAAAGUUUACAAAAAUCAAAGUAGUAUUCUCCAAAAAGUGGUCCUCUUACUGAUUAGAAAAUGAUGCCUGCUAUUAUCACUCUCCUCAACAGAACCAAUAAAAUAGUGCAGGACCUUAAUUUCUCUGUGACUCAUCCUCUUUGUUUAAGGUGUGACCACUCCCCAGACUUGUUAUCCCACACCCAAUGGCCAGGCACUCUGAAGACUAUGACAUUGGCAUGGCCCAGAGUGUCUGGGAGGCUGACAACACAUUGCUAAUUAUGUGUUCUUUAGACGGAAACACUAACAAGCUUCCCCAAGCUCUGGGUCAUAUGUCCAUCAUAAGUGACUGAAACUACAGUCCAUUUUGUCUUAGAAGGACCUCAGGCAGAAUUGAGUAGGGUGAGAAGACAAACAAUACACUUUCUUUGUAUUUAUAUAGCUCCAUGACUUCCAAAACCACUUGAGUGAUCCAAGUCAUAGGAAAAUGACAAUUUCAAAGAGAUCCUAACCUAAUUUAUUAUGCAUGCUUAUUGUAUACAAGACUUGUGCCUUCCUUAUUCAGUUUGUCUCAGCAUCUCAGAUACUGCAUUUACUCAAUGCCCUAUUUCUAGGAUGGCUUGUAUUAGUGAAAGACACUAUAUUGUCUCAGUGUCCUAUUUAUAGGUCAACCUAAUUUAAUUUUAAUAAUAAUAAAGCAUAUAUAAACCCUAGAUUAUGAUUUCCAACCCAUUUUAAUGUACUUCUGUCAAUUUCACUGAAAUAUUCACAGAAUUGAAAACUUGGGGCUUAAUGGGUUAAUGAUGUUGGUUGGCAGACUGACUGUACCAAUAUCAUAUGCACAAGAUGUAUUUGGCAAAGUUAACCAGCCCUGAAAAAAUUUGUUCUGGAUUAUUAUUAUUUUUCUUUUUAAAAUAUAUGUCUGUUUUGUGGUGAUGGACUGACUACAAGCCAGGAGACUGGAAGUUACAUGACUCAAGGCAAGUCAAUAAUCUCUUUGGAUUUAACUUCAGAAAAAGAGUUUGGACUACAUACCAAGAAAAUCAUAUUCCUAGUUUAAAAUGUGUUUUCACAAGUGUCAUUAUCCUAUGUUGCUACUAUGAUUUUAGAUGAGUCUUGAACCUCCAACAUAUUUAAACACCAUUCAAAAUGCCAGAAACAGCUUGGCAACCCUGGGAUCAUCUUGAAAUAGCUGGUUAAAGUUUGAUUCUUAUUUUCCUCUGUGCUCUUCUUUAUCAUCAUAAAGGUGUUGCACAAGCAACAGAGUGCUCUAAAGUUUGGCUUUUCUGUUUUCUGCUACUAACCUAUGCUCACUAUUUAACUUGUCCUCUUUUAAUACUCUUUGUAGGCUACCAGCCUUGGUUAGUUGUGCUAUUGGCCUGAUUGGAAGAAANUUCAGCUUCUCCUCCUUAUAGUGAGAAUGCAAAUGGUUUUGAGGGUGGUGGUAAGUUUUAAAUGGUACAGCACAUGGAGAAGUGCCGCAGUGACUCAUUCAUACUAUGUGUCCAGUAAAAGUUAGAUCCUUUCCCUGUUCGCUUGCUGGCAUUCCUGUGGUGUUUCCACAAACAGAAAUCUGUACCAUAAGGUUCUUUGUAAAGGUUGUCUUCAAAUAGCUGAUUUGUUGUUAUUGUGGCUGUCAAUUAAAAUAGCCAAGGAUUCUUAUUUAUUUUUUCUGAGUCACAGUCUAGGUCUGUGCCAUUUUAAAGUCCAGAAAGUUGAAUUAGUUUAAUUCCACUAUGAUUCUGCCAAGCUAUCUUUUUUUUUUGUAAGAAAACAAACUCUUUUAAUAAUGUAUGAGGUUUAUAAUACUGUGAAGUGUCUCACAGUUUGCAGGAAACAGACCAAAACACCCAAAAUGAUAAAGUGUGUUUAUUGUAGGUCAACUAAUUACAUUUCUUAAACCUGGAAUCUAUGAAAUUUGAUGGUGGGCUUUAGUCUGUGGGGACUUCCUGGGCACAUGUCACCCCUUGGCGGUGAUUCAUUCUGAUGUUCUAAAGGCUGGAAGCUCAUGACAAUAGCAUAUGAGCUUGGCAUGCAUAAUUCACUUAGAAUUUUAAAUGGAUCUUGAGUCAGAAAGUUCCCCCUGAAGUUAGAUUACCACAAGGCAUACAUUUACAAGGGGGAGAUUCCCUCCAGUGUUUAAGAUUCUCUCUUAAGCUGAGAGAACUGGACAACAGAGUCAUUUCUCAGACCAUCAGGAGGCUCACAGUGAGGGGCUGGACGUCACACUCAGCUUUAUCUCCUCAAAUAGAGGAAAAUGUACAAAAGGAGGCUUGUGUAUUCCCCCACUGAGGUCAGUGGGGAAGAGAAGGAUGAUACCAUUAAUGGCCAAUAGGAAGAUAGUCAUCACAGGAUGAAACCAAUAUCACCAGUGUGGCUCGAAGGAAAUCCAUGCCAGGCACCAAAACGUAACAUGUGAAUAGGAUAAUUUUUAUAAGAAAAUGCUAUAUGAAUGUAAAAGAGCUUUUAGAAGAACAAAUGCAUAAGCCAUAAAGGAAAAUAUGGCCAAAUUUACUACAUUAGAGUUUAAAUUAUGUAGAAGAAAAGGUAUAAAAAUAGCAUAAGGCUAGUUUUAUAAAAAUUGAGAAUUUAAGCUGGGUGUGGUGGUGCAUAUUUAAAUCCCAGUGGAUUGGGGGAUGAGGCAGGAGGAUUGCAAGUUUGAGACCAGCCUCAGCAACUUAGUGAGGCCCUAAGUAACUUAGUGGAACCAUGUCUCAAAAUAAAAAAAAAUAAUAAAGGAUUAAAGGACUGCGGACGUAGGUCAGUGAAAAAGAGCCCUUGGUUUCAAUCCCCCUUCCAAAAAAAGAAAGAGGGAAAGAAGAAAGAAAAUUAUGUAUUAAUUUAAUAUGUUUACAUUUUUUGCAUAUGUCCUAUAUGUGUGUGUGUGUGUGUGUGUGUGUAUGAGUGAGAAGACAAACAAUACACCUUCUUUGUAUUUUUUUUUCAGUAGCACUUUAAAAUAUGCUUGUAAAAAUAUUCAGAAUUUGCUGGAGUUACUUCUGAGAAUACGUAAGAGAAAUGAGGAAAGAGAGAAAACAGAGGGCCUCAACUAUAUCUGAAAUAUUUCAUUUCUUUAAAAUUUUAUUUCUUUGAAUAAUAAACAAGAAUGGCAGAUGUGUUUGUACUCAAAGGAUUUGCAUAGCAGAUACACAGGUGUUUGUUAUUUUAGUGCAUUCUUGUAUGUUUGAAAGAUUCUGUAAUACAUAUUUAAUGUAAAAAUACUAUUCACCUGAUAAUUCCCUUCGUGUCUAUGUGGGCAAUCAUAGGAAAGAAGGAAAAAAACAUCAGAGUCCUAGGGAUUUUUUUGCAUCAUCUACGAUAUGGAUCAAAGACUGAUUCUCUGUUACUUUAUUUAUUUUUCCUAAGUUUUACUUAAGAGGCAACAUGGGGAAAUCUUUACCACUGAUGGACUCCUGCUCUCUCUCUCUCUCUACAUUGGAGUAGCACAGACGAUUUCUGCCUCCCCACAGCUGUCUUCUACAGCUCUAUAAUGUAUGCUUUGUUUCACUUCCUGCCCCAAUCUAUACAUCCUGGAAGUCCAAAGGGCUUCCUCCUCUGAGUCCUGGGAUGGGCUGGGGCAUGGCAGUAUGGGCAACUGUCACUAAAACUUGGCUGCAGCUGCUGCUGCUCUGACACUGGAGAAUGUGCACUAUACCAGCAUGUGCCACUCUUCGAUGCUAAACAGCUCUUUUCAGUCUUUUAAUAGAUUCUUGGGGGAGGAGGAAGUGGAGGCUGAAGUUCACUUUAUUCAUCUGUGUGCCUGGCUCAGUCAGAUUGGCAUCUGGCACCAAGCCUACGGUUUUGUCAGAUGACAUUGUUUUCUGUUACCCCCACACGUACGCACAUUCAAAUGCACACACAGUACAAGCUCAAGCAUAUGUCUCUGUGUCUGCAAGUUACACUGCACUGGCCAAAAUCACAUUUAGCCACACACUGAGGUAUAAACUGAAAAUGCACAUUCUUUGACAUCUAUAAGCACGAACAGUGAGGUUCAGUUGUUUUGGUUGUUGUUGUUGUUUUAAGAUGACAACAGAAUGGAAGGAAUAGGUGAAACUUUUUUCAACUGAUUUCUGCUAUUGUUGGUGAAAAGAACAUGUGUAUCACAAUAAGGAUGGGUUUAUACAAUUCUCUCACACACAGAGGUAUUUGAAUCUUUUUAUGAGAACCUCAGUGGACAAGUAAUGGAACUAAAACACCCAAAUCUCCCCAUUUUUGAAUUUCUAAAGAUGCCUACCAUUUAUGAGGAAUCUUACCUCUUCUUCCAUCAUAAUGUGGAAGACUAAGUUCCCAGAACUCCUUAAGACCUGCCCUCUCACUCUCUGCAGUAUGUCCAGAAACUUCAGAAUUAUUGAAGCCAAAGCCAGGAAGCUAUGGCCUUAUGGGUCAAAUCCAGCCAGUUUGCUGUUUUUGUAAAUAAAACUUUAUUACCUAGUAUUGCCCAUUUCUUUACAUAUUGUCUUUUGUUGGUUUUACAUCACAAUGGCAACAUUGAGUACCACUGACAGAGGCCAUAUGGUUUGCAGAGCCCAAAAAACUUAUCAUCUGACCCUUUACCCCCCCCCCAAAAAAAAAAAAAAAAAAAUUCAGCCUACCCCUGGGUAACAGAAUCCUAUGGGCUGGAAGAAUGACUAGAUUACAUAUUAUGGCCAAGAGACAGCAGGUCAAAAAGAUGCUCACAUUCAGUUUAUGCCAGGCUUAUCCUUAUAGCAAGUGGGUAGAAAAAUUAGAUAUCCUGUUUAGCUAUUUUUUUAAAGUUUACAAAAAUCAAAGUAGUAUUCUCCAAAAAGUGGUCCUCUUACUGAUUAGAAAAUGAUGCCUGCUAUUAUCACUCUCCUCAACAGAACCAAUAAAAUAGUGCAGGACCUUAAUUUCUCUGUGACUCAUCCUCUUUGUUUAAGGUGUGACCACUCCCCAGACUUGUUAUCCCACACCCAAUGGCCAGGCACUCUGAAGACUAUGACAUUGGCAUGGCCCAGAGUGUCUGGGAGGCUGACAACACAUUGCUAAUUAUGUGUUCUUUAGACGGAAACACUAACAAGCUUCCCCAAGCUCUGGGUCAUAUGUCCAUCAUAAGUGACUGAAACUACAGUCCAUUUUGUCUUAGAAGGACCUCAGGCAGAAUUGAGUAGGGUGAGAAGACAAACAAUACACUUUCUUUGUAUUUAUAUAGCUCCAUGACUUCCAAAACCACUUGAGUGAUCCAAGUCAUAGGAAAAUGACAAUUUCAAAGAGAUCCUAACCUAAUUUAUUAUGCAUGCUUAUUGUAUACAAGACUUGUGCCUUCCUUAUUCAGUUUGUCUCAGCAUCUCAGAUACUGCAUUUACUCAAUGCCCUAUUUCUAGGAUGGCUUGUAUUAGUGAAAGACACUAUAUUGUCUCAGUGUCCUAUUUAUAGGUCAACCUAAUUUAAUUUUAAUAAUAAUAAAGCAUAUAUAAACCCUAGAUUAUGAUUUCCAACCCAUUUUAAUGUACUUCUGUCAAUUUCACUGAAAUAUUCACAGAAUUGAAAACUUGGGGCUUAAUGGGUUAAUGAUGUUGGUUGGCAGACUGACUGUACCAAUAUCAUAUGCACAAGAUGUAUUUGGCAAAGUUAACCAGCCCUGAAAAAAUUUGUUCUGGAUUAUUAUUAUUUUUCUUUUUAAAAUAUAUGUCUGUUUUGUGGUGAUGGACUGACUACAAGCCAGGAGACUGGAAGUUACAUGACUCAAGGCAAGUCAAUAAUCUCUUUGGAUUUAACUUCAGAAAAAGAGUUUGGACUACAUACCAAGAAAAUCAUAUUCCUAGUUUAAAAUGUGUUUUCACAAGUGUCAUUAUCCUAUGUUGCUACUAUGAUUUUAGAUGAGUCUUGAACCUCCAACAUAUUUAAACACCAUUCAAAAUGCCAGAAACAGCUUGGCAACCCUGGGAUCAUCUUGAAAUAGCUGGUUAAAGUUUGAUUCUUAUUUUCCUCUGUGCUCUUCUUUAUCAUCAUAAAGGUGUUGCACAAGCAACAGAGUGCUCUAAAGUUUGGCUUUUCUGUUUUCUGCUACUAACCUAUGCUCACUAUUUAACUUGUCCUCUUUUAAUACUCUUUGUAGGCUACCAGCCUUGGUUAGUUGUGCUAUUGGCCUGAUUGGAAGAAAGCUCAGAAACACUGGCAGAUGUUAUGAAAAUAUCUCAAGCCUCAGUGCUCUAGCAUUGCUGAACUAAAGCCUGAAUUUCAGGACUGUAAAAUGUCCUAUAAGAGGUUAGGCAUUUUCCUCCUCUUCCACUAGAAAUGCUCAGCUAAAUGGCUGUGAUGUGUUCCACCUGGCUGCUCUCUUUCCCAGGCUGCCAUGUUAUCCUGGUGGGGUCCUUGUGGUGCAAACCUCAGACUCUGGUUUUCAUUUUCAGAAUUCCUGUGCAGAGGGAAUCUGUUUCUGACAGUGUGGGCAUAGGGGUGCAGUAUUGUGGAUCACAGUGUGUAUUUUUUGGGUGAGCCUGUGGGAUGCCUAAAUUUGUACCACAUUAAAGUGGUUUAUGGUAUGUAGAGGGGUUCCUAGGCACUGCAUCUAGGCCUUGCCAAGUUGCCAAAUGUUUUCUCCAACCCCAAGUAUAUAGUCAGGCUUGGAUUUCCUCUCCUAAUAUUCUCAUUGGCUGCAUGGGUACUUCUGUGGAAGUGUGUACCUGACUGGUUGUACAGAAGUAUGGUUGGCAUAAAAAAUCUAUUGGAACAAUGAUUAAAGAAAGAUAUAAGAUUUACCUGCCCAGCAGCUGAAGGUUUUAUGUGAAAAGAAAACAAAAUCAAUUUCCAACUCAGUUUCUUUUCUAGUAACAUUCUGAUAGUCAAUCAAGCCAUCCAAUCUUAUAUACUUAGGGACUUUAAAGAUGAAUUCUGGUGUUUCAGAAGUAAGGUAUGGGGACCAAACAUCAGGAGAUGCUGAGGCCUAGAUAAAAGCAAAAAUUAAUCUGAAAAAAAAUUACUCAUAUAUCUCUUCUGAUGAGUUAGUUUAUUUUAUAUGCCCUAAUAAAAAUGUUGCACAUGAGUUAGAAAAUAAUAAGUUGAAGUGCACACGUAUAAGUUUUGAGGACAUUCUUGAGUUACCAAAAAGAAUGUAAGUAGCACAGAAAGAUAUUUCUGAGAACAGCACUUAAGUAAACACCACUGUAUUGGUUUUAUAAGCUUUCACUUAAGGAUGAUGGUUUCCUGAUUUGUUAGGACUCAAAUAACAUUCAUCUGUUUCAACUAAAGUUGCUGCCUUUCAUUUUCCUUAAUGUUUUCUGAUAUUGAGUUUCAUUCAUAUUUGUAUUUUAUUUGGAGAAAAAUUUCCACCAGUAAAAAACUGGAAAAGCUUCAGGUUAGGUUGUCCCUGAGCAUGCUUAUGGCCCUGGUCUUCAUGUCUGCAUGUGUUACUUGGAUCAUCUUCAGCUAUCUGAGCUGAUAUGAUAACAUGGAAAAGGAAUAAAUCAGAGAGAGAACAGAGUGACAUACACUACUCAUUUUCUACAUAAAUCCCAAUUCCACCCUAUUCCACCUUUCCUUGCUCACAGAAUCGUGACUUUGUUUUAAUGUUUGGAGUGGAUUCAGAGAUAGAGACCACCUUUGAUCAAAAGCAAAACUUGACCCAUCUAUGUUAAAUAAAGGAGUCUCAAUUGCUGGCCAGUCACUGUCUCAGGUGUAGAUAUAUGCUCUAACUCUGGGCAUUACAGAACUAGAAUCUACAAAGAGAAUCUGGAGAAGACUUUCUUUGACAGAGAAAGGAAUGCAAAUUCUACAUUAGGGGCAGCCAAGUGAAAUUACAAUGUGAAGAUCCUUGUUCAAAAAGAAGAUUGAAAAAAAAAAAACUUCUUUCUUCUUUUCAACCAUUUCUCCAUCUCAAUCUGGUUCUUAUUUGCUAUGUGGGACAACCUCUAUUCUGGAGCCACAUCCUAUAACUCAGCAUGCAGAGUACACCUUACUUUGACCCUGAUACUUCAUAUACCUACAAGCUGACCCCCUGUAAAGACACAGUGUGGCAGCAGCUGUUCAGAAGCUUGGGGAAUGAACAGUCUAGAACUUCAACCUGUAAGGAGAUUAGGCAGUACUGCCCAUGAGUUGAGGCUCCAAGCCCUUGGCAUGUGUUCAUCCAUCAUAUUUCACUUGCAAAACACAAACUUCAUGAUGCUGACCACAGAGUAUUAAUGCCCAAGCCUGGGGCCCUUCUCACUCUGGGGUCCAGUAGGAAUGUACUGCUGACAUGCCCAUCAAGCUGGCCUUGUGUUCACAUCUGCAUGUGUUAGUUGGACUGGAUUCAGUCAUCUCAAGACUAUAGGAGACACAUGUCCAAGUUAGAAAAGAAAGACAUAAAGCACCUGUGCCCUUGACAUUAUUAAGCUACUAAAUUAAUCAGCUCUGGAAACUGCCUAGACUCAAAAAUCUCAUUGUAUGAGGUAAUAGACCUCUCCUUUUAAUGGCCACUUUUUCUUGGGUGUUUUAUCAAUCACAACUAAAAGCAUUUCAGUUAGUAGGAAAGGUCACAUUGGUGAAAAUGUCUACAAAGGCAGGAAGGAUGAAGCUGGAGGAUUCUGGCUAAUUGCAAAUGUAUGGUGAGUCACCUAGAUGAUGCUCUUCCUGCUCUUUCCUGGCCACUCUGCUGGACAUGGGAGGGCCAGUAUGUUCUUUGGAACCAGAGAAUAGACAAUGCCCUCUCACUCCACCCCCUCACAUUCCUCCACUCAGUAAGCUUAACAAGUUCAAGUAGGGCAAAUGCAAGCAAACCACAACAUAGAACUCAAACACAACACCCACAUUGAUCUUUAGAUGUAUAAGAAUCAAUAUGGUAGAAAGAGGUCACUGUGAGCUUAAGGGAUGGCUUGAGGCAAAGUUAUAAAUUUGAUGAGGCUAGGCUUUGAAUAUAUUCCCCCAAAAUUCAUGUUUUGGAAAUUUAAUCCCUCAAUGCAACCAAGUUGAAAGGAUGGACCUUUAAGAGAUGAUUAGGUCAUGAGGGCUCUGCCCCCAUGAUUGGGUUAAGCCAUUACCACCAGACUAUGUUAAUUAUCUCAGGAGUGGACAAAUAAAAGCAUGAGUUCAUCCCCCUUCCCUACAUCCCCCCUCUCUCUCUUUUCCUCUUUCUCCUGUGAUGCCUUCAAUUAUGUUGUGACUCAGCAAGAAGGCCCUCAUCAGAUGCAGUUCCUCAAUCUUGGGUUUUCCUUUCCCCAGAACUGUGAGCAAAUAAACCUCUAUUGUCUAUAAAUUUCUCAGUAUGUGGUAUUUUGUUAGAGUAGCAUGAAUUGACUAAGACAAGUGAGGUUUGUUCGGGGCUCAUGUACUUCCCUUAUAAUGUACAGUGUUUUAACCUGCAGAAAUUAUCUGCUAAGCAAAUAUCUUGGGUUUUGUUCUUGGUCAUUCCUGAUUAUGGAGAUCACUAAACUUGACAGUAUCAUUUACAUGAAGAGUUGGCUGACCAGUCCCUUAAUUUCCUUCAAGGGUUUGAGAUUUUUCUAAUUAUUCACUGCCCAAUUCCUGUCCCUCUUACUGGGUCAAUGGACCUAUGGGAUCUCAAGUUCUAAAUCCAUAAAACUCUACCUUGAAUUUUGGAGUUAGAAAAAAAAUAACACCCUCUGGGGAAAAGAGCUUCAGGGAAAUCUAGUAAGAGAAAAGGGUCUUGCAGGGUAUGGGUGGGAUGACAAAUCUGGGAAAAGGCCAUUCUACCGAAGACAUCAGCAGGGGCACUCUGGGGUAUCCACCUUCACCUAAGAACUGGGAUGUAGCCCUGAGGAGCAAUUUCUUUCCCUUUCUCACAAAUGGUUAGGCACUAAGCACACUUCCUGAACAUUUCUAGAAAUAAGCAUAGGAGUCUAUAAAUGAUGAGCCACUCUUCUGCUUAUAGAAUUUGCAUCAGAUUAAAUAUUAACUACCACCACCCCCAAUUAGUCAUCCAGGAUCUCAGAAUGUGACCUAUUUAGAAAUAAGUAUAAUUAAUUAAGAUGAAUGAGGUCUUACUAGAACUCAAGUGACCCUAAAUUCAAAUGUCCUUUAUGAAAACACACAGAAACUAUAACCAAUUUGAGACAAAGUCAGAGGCUAGCAUCACACUGCCACAAGCCGAGUCAUGCCAAGAGCCACCAGCAGCUGGAAAUGCCAAGAGUUUCUGUCCUAGAAGCUUCACAAAGAGAGUGGCUUUACCAACACCUUGAUUUGGGGUUUCUGACCUCCAGAACUACAAGAGAAUAAUUUAUGUUGGUUUAAGCCACCUAGUUUGUGGUAAUUUGUUGUGGCCAUUCUAGGAAUAACACACAGGUGAAUUACAGAAGUUAUUGUUAUUAUACCACCAUGGAAUAAUAGGGCUUGAAGCUGAUCACGACUGGGCCCUAAAUUCCAUUAAGAGACAAUGGAGGAGGAACUUCUUCAACAGAACGUCCACCACUGCAGCUCCAAGGAACUUUCUUUGUAGUGUGAGCCCAUGAGGUAAGAAGAGUUGGAUGGGAUGCUGUGUGCAUGCCCAUGCAUGCUCUGCUUUCUCCCAUUCCUACCUCUUCAUCUCAACCCUCUGCCAAACAUAAUUUGAUGGAUCCCAAGGUCUUCCUGUUUGAACCAGUUUUUUUUCAGUGAUAUCUGACAAGAAGGCCGAAGCUGUUGAAGUUUCCUCCUUGCUAGAUUAGCAGCACAUGGGUGAGCCAAACUCAUACAUUAUUCAGAGGGGAAAAAUGUGGGCUCUGACUGAACUUAGAAGGAAUCAGCAGCUCUUCCAGAGGAGAGUGCCCUAUUGUUCUGCCUCACAGAACACAAAGAGCAAGUGGCAUUCCUUACGGCAUAGCUAAUGGGGUGCACGCAGACGCUGGGAUGAACUGGCCAGCAGACAUCUUUCAUGAGCUCUGAGAGCCUGUGCAAAGUGACUUACUCCUAAUGACAUGAAGGAUGUUCAAUUUUUUUCUAUUUAUGUAAGGUUCCAACUCAGUGAUACUUAGGGCAGAAAUUUCUGUAAAAUAAAAUGAUGCCAUCAGCUGGGCACCGUGGCUCAGGUCAGUAAUCCCAUCAGCUUGGGAGGGCUGAGGCAGAAGGAUGGCGAGUUCAAAGCCAGCCUCAGCAAAAGUGAGGAGCUAAGCAACUCAGUGAGACUCUGUCUCUAAAUAAAAUACAAAUAGGGCUGGGGAUGUGGCUCAGUGGUCAAGAGCCCCUGAGUUCAAUCCCCAGUACCCGAUCCCUUCAAAAAAAAAUGGUGCCACCUACAAGCAUAUAUUUAUGAAUGCUAUCAAGGGCCCCUUGAAAGAGGCCACCAGAAAGACAAGGUUGACCUUUCUACCAUUGUUGCAGGUGCUUCUCUGAAACAUGGAUGGUGUUUCCUGUACCAUAGAACAAGAAAAGAAAUUGUUGUGAAAUUCAAUUUUUUUUAAAAUAAGAUUCAUAUCACAAGUGUUUCCUGGAGACGAGAAAAGUAUUUUCCAAAAAUAGGAAAAGUAAACCCUGACCAAAAGAGUUAAGUAAAGGUUCAAAGGGCCUUCAGCUCAGAGCAUAUGCAAAGGUUCUGAAUUAAUUCCUAGUAAAGGCUCUAUAAGAAACAAAAAUUUUUAUAAAAGUGAAAUGCUGCUACUACAAUCUUCCUGAAGUCUCUUCAGUCCUACUUUAUCAUCCAGGCUAUCUGAGUAAAUCUUGGUGUGACAUACCUCAUUUAAAAUUUGCCUGUAACUGCCUACAACUCUUGUUCACAGAGCAUCACAGGCAUUUUUUCUGAUUGUUGUUGUUGUUGUUGUUAUUAUUAUUAUUUUAGCUAAAUAGCCAAACAAAAAAUAAACACAGGUAGACAGAUCCACUGGCAGAGAAGAAAACAAACAAAUACAGAAAAAAAAUUGUUGGAAAGCAGAGAAGAUAGAUGGACCUAAUAAUGAGUUCUGGAUCCAGAACUUUUCUCCAAGAUGGGAGAUGCUGGAGCUCUGAUGUGGAACCAAGAAGAUCAAGGGAGGGGAACUCUUAAAUAGGGGAUUUAUCAGGAAUGGGCCUUCACUAGCACUGGGCCAUCACUGAUGCCAAAGCUUGCUAGAUCAUGACAUGACAGUGUUUUCAAUUAAUAGUCUUUAGGUUUCACAGUAGAAUUAUUUUCCCAAUUCUGUCACAUACUGCUUCCUAGGAUAGCUUAAUGAUUACACUGGAAUUUUUGAUAACCAAAAACUUUGGCAACCAGUUUUAUCAUGGUACCAGAAUUUACAAAGUUGGAUGGAGGGAAGGAAGGCAAAAGCAGAUGGAUAGAUCACAAGGUGAGCAGUAUAUAUAUGGUUAUUAUUUGAUUUAAUGCAAUAGUAUACAAAAUAUAAGUUGAGGUACAUUAGAAGCUUUGCCAAAACAACAUCAUAGCAAAACUGUUUUGUUUUGUUUUUUUUUUUUCCAGUUUUUCAGAUACUUGUACCUUAUACUCUUCAGGGAUUUGAAUCAAUUUACAUUAUUGGAGAAAAUACCAAUGACCAAUAAAGGAAGCAAGUAACAACAUGGAAAAAUUGCUCUUUGAAUAUUUGUAAAACUCGGUUCUCUGAAUGUGAUCUUUAAAAACUGAGGUUAGAAAUAUACCAUGAUAGAAAUAGGUCAAUUAGUAUUGAAAGACAUCUAAUAUUGCCUGCUAUUUGGAAGUUAACAACCUUGCGUUCAAUCCUACUGCCCAGGAUAGGAUACUUUUCAGCAACAACAAAAAGUAUUCUUUUAGUUAAUAUUAUUCAGUUCGGUAACUUGAUAGAUUGUAUUGUGAUCAAACUGAUAAUUUACUAAUCAGCAGUGUUUAUGGAUUAGAAAAUACAUUAUAUUUCAAUUUAUUCAAUUUUAUAUAAAUACAACCAGAAGCAGAGAACUUGCCUGUAAAUAUGGUUCUUACCCAGUAAGAAUUUUCAAAAUUCUGUUAAAAUGAAUUUGAUGUAAACAAGUUUUAUUAAACCUCAUGUUUCUUCUUUUCCUCAUGCCAUUCAUUUAGCAAUUAAUUAUAAUCAACAUUCAUAAUUAGCCUUGCUUUAGUCUUAUUUUUCCAACUGGGUUAUAAACAUAAAAUUACAGACUCUUAGAUUAGAAAGGACUUUUUUUUUUUUCCUCUCCCUCCUGACCUUCCUUUCCUCCUCCUUCUUUUUUCCAGUACUGAGGACUGAACUCAAGGGCACUGCACCACUGAGCUACAUCCCCAGCCCUUUUUAUCUUUUAUUUUGACACAAUGCCUUGCUAAGUUGCCCAGACGGGCCUUCAAAUUGCAGUCCUCCUUCAUCAGAUUCCCAAGUACCUAGGGUUACAAGUGUGUGUCACUGUGCCCAGCAAAAGGACUCCAAGUCAUUCUUCUAAUACCUGUCCUCAAUAUAAGGAAUAAUUUAUAUCUGGUUUUAACAGUUGCUUGGAAACCUGAAACAAUUGCCAUCUUUUGAAGGUAAAAUAUNAUUUUUUCUGAUUGUUGUUGUUGUUGUUGUUAUUAUUAUUAUUUUAGCUAAAUAGCCAAACAAAAAAUAAACACAGGUAGACAGAUCCACUGGCAGAGAAGAAAACAAACAAAUACAGAAAAAAAAUUGUUGGAAAGCAGAGAAGAUAGAUGGACCUAAUAAUGAGUUCUGGAUCCAGAACUUUUCUCCAAGAUGGGAGAUGCUGGAGCUCUGAUGUGGAACCAAGAAGAUCAAGGGAGGGGAACUCUUAAAUAGGGGAUUUAUCAGGAAUGGGCCUUCACUAGCACUGGGCCAUCACUGAUGCCAAAGCUUGCUAGAUCAUGACAUGACAGUGUUUUCAAUUAAUAGUCAGUCUUUAGGUUUCACAGUAGAAUUAUUUUCCCAAUUCUGUCACAUACUGCUUCCUAGGAUAGCUUAAUGAUUACACUGGAAUUUUUGAUAACCAAAAACUUUGGCAACCAGUUUUAUCAUGGUACCAGAAUUUACAAAGUUGGAUGGAGGGAAGGAAGGCAAAAGCAGAUGGAUAGAUCACAAGGUGAGCAGUAUAUAUAUGGUUAUUAUUUGAUUUAAUGCAAUAGUAUACAAAAUAUAAGUUGAGGUACAUUAGAAGCUUUGCCAAAACAACAUCAUAGCAAAACUGUUUUGUUUUGUUGUUUUUUUUUUUUUCCAGUUUUUCAGAUACUUGUACCUUAUACUCUUCAGGGAUUUGAAUCAAUUUACAUUAUUGGAGAAAAUACCAAUGACCAAUAAAGGAAGCAAGUAACAACAUGGAAAAAUUGCUCUUUGAAUAUUUGUAAAACUCGGUUCUCUGAAUGUGAUCUUUAAAAACUGAGGUUAGAAAUAUACCAUGAUAGAAAUAGGUCAAUUAGUAUUGAAAGACAUCUAAUAUUGCCUGCUAUUUGGAAGUUAACAACCUUGCGUUCAAUCCAACUGCCCAGGAUAGGAUACUUUUCAGCAACAACAAAAAGUAUUCUUUUAGUUAAUAUUAUUCAGUUCGGUAACUUGAUAGAUUGUAUUGUGAUCAAACUGAUAAUUUACUAAUCAGCAGUGUUUAUGGAUUAGAAAAUACAUUAUAUUUCAAUUUAUUCAAUUUUAUAUAAAUACAACCAGAAGCAGAGAACUUGCCUGUAAAUAUGGUUCUUACCCAGUAAGAAUUUUCAAAAUUCUGUUAAAAUGAAUUUGAUGUAAACAAGUUUUAUUAAACCUCAUGUUUCUUCUUUUCCUCAUGCCAUUCAUUUAGCAAUUAAUUAUAAUCAACAUUCAUAAUUAGCCUUGCUUUAGUCUUAUUUUUCCAACUGGGUUAUAAACAUAAAAUUACAGACUCUUAGAUUAGAAAGGACUUUUUUUUUUUCCUCUCCCUCCUGACCUUCCUUUCCUCCUCCUUCUUUUUUCCAGUACUGAGGACUGAACUCAAGGGCACUGCACCACUGAGCUACAUCCCCAGCCCUUUUUAUCUUUUAUUUUGACACAAUGCCUUGCUAAGUUGCCCAGACGGGCCUUCAAAUUGCAGUCCUCCUUCAUCAGAUUCCCAAGUACCUAGGGUUACAAGUGUGUGUCACUGUGCCCAGCAAAAGGACUCCAAGUCAUUCUUCUAAUACCUGUCCUCAAUAUAAGGAAUAAUUUAUAUUUGGUUUUAACAGUUGCUUGGAAACCUGAAACAAUUGCCAUCUUUUGAAGGUAAAAUAUUUCAUUAUUAUUCCAAAAGCAAAUAAUAUUUUUUUAACUAAUCAAAAUAUCCACCAGAUUUUCCAAUAUCCCCCAGUGGCUGUGCACACUGUAUUGUGGUGAAUCAGUACACUCUUCUCCAGCUGGGUACAGCUAAGCAGAAGCAGGUCUCCUUGUUAUUUACUGGGAUACCACCUUGAAUUACCAGGCAAUGCAGAUUUUUAUCUUUAAAAUGUUACCUACAACACAGAGAGUAAUCCAAUAUUUGAGAAAUAUGAAGCUGAAUAUAAAAUUUUCCCUAUUUCAUUUUGAAUCACAUGAUUGAAUUCAAUGUGAAAUAAAAGAUCUGUUGAGACUCUGUUUUAUUUUUAAAAUAGCUAAUUAAGAUGAUAAAUAAUACAUCUGUCAGUGAAAUUGUCUUAUAUUUUGGGUUUCUUUCUUUCUUUCUUUUUUUAAAUUUUUAAAUUUAUUCUUUUUAAAUUUAUUCUUUUUAGUUAUAUACAACACCAGGAUAUACCCUGACACUAACACAAAUGUAUGGAAUUCACUUUGCUCCAAUUUGAAUUUCUUGUAGCACAGAAAUUCUCCAUAUAAUGCAUCUACUUGCCAAUUAUAUUCUUGUAAUACUUAAAUAUGUAUAUAAGCAAAUUAUUAAGUAGGCAAUUUCUGGUCAGUAAUACAUUUUAAAUAUCUGGGAAGAGGAACAUAGAAUAAAUUUUAAAAAUGAAAUUAGCAUAUAUUUAUUUGCCCCAUGUUACCAAUGUGCUCAACAAAUAACCUAAGAAGAAGGAGAAAAAAAAGUGGAAAAAGAGGAGGAGGAGGAGGAGGAGGAGGAGGAGGAGGAGGAAAGAAAAGGGAAGAAGGUGAGGAGAAAGAGGGGGAGGGAGAAAACAAAAAGAAUUACCUUGUUUAUAUUCACAUUUUGCUGGCAAAUAUUUCUAAACAGAAUAAAUUGAUCUUCCAUAAUUAAAUCUUCUUGAUUACAAAGAUAGGAAACUGAUUGUUAAAGGAAGAAAAAUAACAGCAACUGUAUUGAUAGUCAAAUCUGAUUUUAAAAAACUACCAUUAUCUUGUAAUAAGUAUUGCUGGUGUUUCAUAUUUUAGAAAUAUAAUUCAACUCCUGUAUUACUUAUAAAAAGUUAAUAAAAAUUAUCUAUAAACUUACUUACACAUACAUAUAAUCCUUUUAGGACCAUCAGAAUUUACCUUUCAGCAUUAGGAAUUCCAUCAUCCCAUUAAGGGGGAGUCUUAUAAUAAGCUUAUUAUAUAGAGUAUAUCUUGGAGACUAGUAACAUUUGGGUCAACUACAUGAAUCGUUUCAAUUCACCAGAUUCUCCUUAAUAAAAAUCUUUAGCAUUUCUUAAGCAUAAAUUGUAUUUGCAAUUCAAUCAUUCAUUAAUUUUCACAUAAAUUUUUUUCAUGCAUUUUAUUAAAUUCCUAUCAUGUUCCAAGUUCUCUAUUACUGAUAACUAGGAAUUUAGGCAAGAUUAAAACAGAUUCAGAGUCCUUCUUAUGAAUAUUUUUAUUAGGAAAUAUGUUUCCCAAAUUAACCAACUAUCUUCAAGCCUCUUCUUUAAAGUCAUGUUGAAAUUCUAAAGCUGAAAUGCAUUUUAUUGUUUCUAAACUAAGAAACAGUCAUUAUCAGAAUUCUAUAUACCACUUAUUUUUAAGAACACAUUGGACUUUCUAAGUUUUAUUAUGCUUUUAAGUUAACUACUUUAGAUAGUCACAAAUAAAGUAAUGGUCAAGUGUUUAAUCGCUAUAGUUCAUGAAUUCACACCUAUUCUGUACCACUUAGUAGCUCUCUGAUUUUGAUUCCUGACCAAAGUACUCUAUCAUAUUUUAUCUGUGAAAGAGAAAUGAUAAUGGUAUGUAUUUAGCAGGAUUGUGGGGAUGAUUAAAUACUUCAAUAGAUGUAGAAUAGUUCCUGAAACAUGCUAAGUUCAUAGAAGUAUUUUUCUUUUAUUUUCUGCAGGUUAGUUCAUGGAAUGAAUGACUUCAAUAAAGUAAACACACACAAGAUGCAAAUGAGAACUACUGGCCUUGGUUCAAGAUGACCUGAGUUUGAAUCUUAGUACUGCCACAGAAGGGUUCUGGCAAGCUGGUCAACAAAGCUUACAAUGCAAAGAUCCGUCUCAAGUGCCCAUUAUUUUCUCCUUGCAGAUCCUCACUUGGUUUUUGCUAUUCUCAUAACAAAUGUAGGAAUUGUACUACAUGGUUUCUAAUACUCUAUACACCUCUAAAAGUCUGCAAAACUGUGAUUUGAUCCUGAUGGGUCCAUAAUUCCAGACUUGGCAUAGUUUUUGUCUAUGAACCACUUGGUUAGAAAGGCAUUUUUUUCAAAUGGUACCAGAGCAGUAGACAUCACUGCUUUCCCCAUUAUAUUGAAGGAGACUCUUCUGCAUAGUUUCUUCUACAAAUUAAAACAAGUCAGUAAAAGGCUUUCUUGUUGGUGAAACGAAUUUUGGCUUUUAGUCACCCAUUCCAAAGGAUUCAAAAUCAUGGACUUGGAACUAUUUUGAAUAAGGAAUAAAAUGAAACUGUUCUGGUUUAUUAAAUAAAAUGACUGUGGAAUAUGCAUAGCAUUUUUUAAAAGUUUUUA
Molecule: long non-coding RNA, 38781 nt
Filed under: Marmota monax (woodchuck)
Lineage: Eukaryota; Metazoa; Chordata; Mammalia; Rodentia; Sciuridae
Source: RNAcentral